CGGGGCAUGACGGGCACCUCGGCUGGCACGUACUCCACCCUCCGGGGCUCGGGGCCUGAGGAGCAGAAGGUGGCCCUGGGCAGAUGCUCUGCGUGCGGGAGGCUGCGCUUUCAGUCAUUAUUUGGAUUUCGUUUUCCACAUGAAAAUAUUUAGAGAUCCAGCUCUUGGAAGCCAAGGAGAAACUGGCUUUUAAGUACCAUGGCUACUGUGACGUAUCCUGACUAAUGCCGACAGCACAGGGAGCCUUUGCCUGCCGGAGGAAGCGGUGAGGAAGAGGUGGUGCGUCGUGCACUUCCUGUUGCUGUUUUAGGACAGCUUGGACGUAGUUUGUUCCAGGGAAGUGCUGCUGAACCAGGUAAACCCAGCCCCCCAUCUCCAGGAGCAGAGGCUGCAAGGACAGGAAGACAAUGAGGCAAUGGUGUGCUGGGGGAAUCGUGCUAAAGUGAAAGCAUCCUUCGAUCAUUUUUAAGUCAUUCUAGGAUCUUCAGGGCAUCAAAGUUUUGCCUGUGAGCCUCAAUUGGUCUAAUACAAAAAUACAGACUGUGG
This 546-nucleotide long non-coding RNA is filed under the name Homo sapiens (human). RNAcentral's name for it is "novel transcript". The record is from RNAcentral. Lineage: Eukaryota; Metazoa; Chordata; Mammalia; Primates; Hominidae.